GGCGGAAAGCUCGCUCAAUUGAGUGAAAAUCAAACAAAAUGAAACUGCAGGCCGAGCUGAUCCCAUUCGAAAGUUUAAUUAUAUUUUGCGCCACCGACACUAGUUGCUAUGCUGUUAUUUUAUUUAUUUCGUUUUUUUUUUUGUCUGUUUUUCGCUUUUUCGAAACCGGCAAAGCGAGCAAACUUCGAUCAGAAGACAACAAUAAACACACACACACUCACACAGAUGGCGUUGAGUACUUUGUUUGUGGCCUGCUAACGGCACAAUUACGUCAGAAAAAUAAGCUUUUUCGGUUUUCUGGCAGCUCCCAAGAACUUAAUUAAUUAAAAUUUAAACUAUCGCAAAAGUGCCUUAUUUAAAAACGAAUAGAAAAACUAAAAAAACCUGCCUUUUUUGUUUCAGCUCGAGCACUUAAUUGCUUUUUGUUGCCUUUGCUCUUUCUUCGUUUGGUCAACGUUUUGCUCGACUUUAUUUAUUUUUAGAAAUAAACAACUUAUUUUUACUCGCAUCUCUCGCUAUUUGUUCUGCUCUUCAAUUAAUUGUUUAUUUUCGUUCAAUCACUUAAGAUCAUGUGUACGACAGGCAUGUGGGCUAAAAAUUUGGAGGAAACGAUUGCCAAGUUAAACCGAUCAAUAAAUGCCAAAACGUGAUUAAACAACGCAUUCUAUAAACAGAAAACUAGUCCAGAACAAAAAAAUAUAAUUAUAAUAAAUGCUAAUGCGCCUUAUGAUUAACAAAUAAACGAUUUCGGGUUCCUUUUCAUUUACAAAGUUUGCCCUUUUUAUUACCCUAAUUUUUUGUAACGUAACAAACUGUAUAGUAUUAUAUAUUUUACAAAAUAUAUUACGCAUACGCAGUGAGACGAACAUAUGGAAAAUUUUAUACAAACUUUCAAAUCAAUUAAGAAUUAAUGAGCGGCAUUUCGCUGCUAAACGUAUGAAUUCAAAUGGAUUUAAACUGUGUUUUAAAUGUUUUGACAACGCAUACAAUACGAUAAUGAUCUUGGCUGCCAAAUGCUGCACAAUCUCGUUUCGGAUGUGAAAUGCUGUUGGUGAUACUUUUGCUAUCAGCUAUCAGCAAAAGCUGCUGCAUUAUUGGGAGUAGGAAAUAUAACCCUAGGGGUAGAGUACCAGGACUUAUGGGCUUCGCUUAUCUAUCGCACGUCUGCUCCUGACAACGUCAAACAAAAAGAAGCAAUUUCCAAUGUCGCUGCUGCUGCUGCUGCUGCUGCUGCUGCUGUUUUGGCCCUGCUAAUUGCAAUUAGUGGCCGAUGACGUCGAGGGGUUGACAGACACGUGCCAAAGCACCCUUUCUGCCUUAAAGUGCCUGUUUCUUGUUUCGCUAUCUCAAACAUAUGCAUUUGCCUGCAUUUCUUCCAUUGCCUGCAUCUAGUUUGUUUGUUUGUUGGCUCGUGUAAAAAUAGUUUAAAGCCCUACAAAACAAACCUAAACCACGACAACGAAAUAUAAUGGUUAGUACGUUAGAUAGUAGAUCGCGGGCGAAGAGCUCGAAUUCGUGGCUCAAACAUGUGACUAUGCCCAAUAAUUAAUUUACAAAUUACGUUCUAAACUAAAAGUCCGAACCUAAGGUACCCCAGCCACAGCAGCAGCAACAACAAAAAGCAAUCUUGUCUGCAGAAAAGACCUUGCUUUCGAUUUUCAAAAUGUGUUUACUACACUCUGAGGCGAACACACACACACACAGCGCCUCGACGCAAAACAAGAAACGUUUAAAUUGCUAUUUUAUUCACUGAAAUCCGCGACGCGGAAUACCAAACGAACAAGAAUAAAUAAAAUAUUGAUAUCGAAAGAAACUCGAACUGAGUGCAGACUAUUGUAUUUUGUAAUUAAUAUUUCAAAUUAGCAUAAGUUUGAACCCAACCAAAAAACCGGCAGAGCAAUUUACCAAAAAGAGUUACUAAGUGUUCUGCAAUAUCUUCAUGAUUAAUUGGUAUUAAAAAUAAAUCAACUUGUGGCAGUUACAAUAAAUCAAAAUUAAUUUACACUAAUUAAAUUGAAAAUCGAUUUGAAAAGGGUACACAAAAAUAAAAACGCCAAACUGGGAUUACUUUCUCAUUAAAAAAUGUUUUGGCAAUUAAAGUUAAUUAUCAAAUCAGUGGUAAAUUGUUUCUGAGCGAAACCAAGUGAAUUGAAAUAAAAUGCGAAAAUAUUUUGCAAACUUCAUCUGGGCAAUAGGCGGUUCGCUUUUUCAUUCCACCUGCUGCCAACCUGGAUUUAGUGGACCCAAAUUGUUCCUACUUCUGCAGCUUUUCGGUCGGAAUGGGCUGACUUUUGAGUGUGAUAGCCAAGAAAGAUAUGUUCGAUUGUUUUUGGUAAGACCGCAGAAAAGACAAUAUCAGCAAGAGCAAAGACAAAUAAAAGUAGUAUAAAAAACCAAAGGCAAAGGCAGCCGAUAGGCAACAACAAGUUCUGGCUGGAACUUGUUGACGACUUCACUUUUGCUCGGCUGUCCAAAAAGUGUUUUGCCUUAAAUUUGUGUGUGUAUCUGUGGGCCAGGCCAGUAGUGCCAGGUUAAUACAGAUAGAUAUAUAAAAGACACCUUUCAAGACUGGUUUAGUUUGCCCAGCUCACUUUGAGCAUUGCUGCUUCUGUUACACUUACUGUCCCCCACUAGCCUCACCCCCUCCUCCAACUGCCCCUCCAGCGACUCUACUCUAAUGCAAUCAAAUCGGCCUUUGAGUGCCUGUGUGUGUGUGUUAGCAGUAUUGGGUGUUGGCCAGCAGCUGUUGCCAGUUGUUGCUGUUUGCUGUUUGCCGUUUGUUGUUUGUGUUCUUUAGUCGCUUUGCAAAAAAUGUCGUUUGAUUAUGGCUGGACGAGAGAAUGCAAAGUGAAUUGUUGAAAUAUUGAAUUAAGACCAAAGUCUGUGUCGCAGAAUCGCACGCUCACUGCCAAUUUAUUUAUCUAUCCAUCAACUCUGGCCGCAUGGUUAACCCACUUUCAGGGCCACUUUUUACCUUAUCUGCUUGCUAGCUAUUUUGCCAGCAUUUCAGUUGCUUAUUGCAUUCGCUUUUAUGCAAGAAUUUUAAAUUGCAGGCGCAACAGCACAGCACAGCCAAACAAAAAGUGAAAGUCAUCCAGCAACGAGCACAAACCUCCAAGCUUGAAUAUUACGUAUACGCAGUGUUGAUCAGCGUUGAAAGCGCAACAGGCUGAAGAGGCAGAAGAUUGGCCAGGCCAGAAAGCCACCGAGUUGGCAUCCUGGAUGCCGGCCACGUUCUUGCCGCCGGCGGAUUGCAGAUUAACGAUCUCCUCAUCCCCACACGCCCACGCAGAAACGACCUUAAUUGUGUCCGUGUCGGAGUUUCUGAAAGUGUGUGUUUGUUUUUCUCUCUUUUUUUUUGUUUUUAUGUUCUUUAUUGCAGCACGUCAAGAAACGACUCCAAGGGCAGUCGCAGUAAUAGCAGCAGCAGCAGCAGCAAUGCAACGCAUGCACUCCACAUAAAUUGCAUAUAGUCAAGUCUCGAUGGAAGGACCAACGAAAUGGAGCAUAACUCUGUCUUCUAAAAGCGAGACGUUCCUUAAAUAAAGUAUUAUAUUCUUAUUAUAUUAUGAUAUUAUAUUUGUUCUGUUUCCGCGACUCUGGAUGUUUAGCCUUUGACACAAUUUCCCUACCAAAAAUUUGCUUCCACUAAAAAAAAAAUAAUUAAUCAUUAGCCCAAAAUAAAUGAAACUUAUUUGAAAUGUACGAUUCACAUAAGAAUUUGAUCUCUGCCCUGUUGCUCCGCAUAGAGUGCCCACCGUGGCAACGCUCACUUUGCAGACACGGACACAUUAGAAUGGCCUGAGGCUGGAACUGGUUGCAGCAGCUGUGUCCUAACACUCUUCAGUCGUCGGGUAACCGAGUAAAUGCGUCCCCAAGUCACCAAGUCGCGAGUAAGCAACAACGCCUCCAUUGAGGCAACAGCCUCCGCUAACGAGCUCGUGCAGCUCUGCGGCUCUGCGGCUCCGUCUCUGAUUUAAACUCCAAUCGCUAAAGCAACUGCCACUGCAACUGCAACGACGGUACAACAACGCACAAGAAUUGCCAUGAACCAAUUUGAUAAUACAAAGCACCCCCGGCCACAGCACUCACACACACGCACAACAAUUAUUAUUAUUCGGUUUGCCAUUUUUUUUUAGACGUUUUCGGUUUGAAAUUGAAAGUUGUCUGGUCGUCGCCGGUAGCGAGUGAAGCGUGAAACGGCGACACAUUGCUAGCACCUAAGCCCCAAGGAUGAUAUCCUGUCGCCCGGAUGUCGCCAAUGAGCCGAGGACACCAUAAGGGCAGGAUGAACGGCAUGGUCAGGGAUUGGAUGGUUAAAUCUCGCCCGCUUUCGUUGGCUUACUUCCCAUGAAACAUUAUAAUUGUGUUCCAAAAUUGGGGUACACUUGAAACAUCCGUUUUGAAUAAAAUACGAGGAAGAAAAGACAAAA
Drosophila yakuba is the source of this 4433-nucleotide long non-coding RNA. RefSeq lists it as uncharacterized. The record is from RefSeq and is a predicted model, not a curated record. The transcript has 2 exons. NCBI's taxonomy places the organism in Eukaryota, Metazoa, Arthropoda, Insecta, Diptera, Drosophilidae.